RNAcentral lists this transfer RNA (69 nucleotides) under Puccinia coronata f. sp. avenae. RNAcentral describes it as "Puccinia coronata var. avenae f. sp. avenae partial tRNA-Ser". The record is from RNAcentral. Lineage: Eukaryota; Fungi; Basidiomycota; Pucciniomycetes; Pucciniales; Pucciniaceae.
GCAACAUAGCUCAAUGGUCAGAGCAUCACUCAUGAACGCUGAGGUUGUGGGUUUGAGUCCCACAGUACA